Salmo salar (Atlantic salmon) is the source of this 2290-nucleotide long non-coding RNA. RefSeq lists it as uncharacterized. The record is from RefSeq and is a predicted model, not a curated record. NCBI's taxonomy places the organism in Eukaryota, Metazoa, Chordata, Actinopteri, Salmoniformes, Salmonidae.
CUGUUGUAGACUUCUGACCUGUGCAUGGCAGUAAUGGCAUGUAAAUCACUCAUUACUGUGUUUUAAAGUUGGUUUAAUAAUACUUUCCUGUGGACAUUUUGUCUCAAAUUUUCUACAUCAUAAGGAUGAAGUGUCAGCGGACAACCGGUAGAAUUCCAACAGAAGUGUUUUGCUGUUUUGCGAUGCAAUUCCUGAGCUAAUGGAAACUCUGGAGGGAACACAAAAAAAAGCCUGCUCGAAGCGGUUUACCGAUAAACUUGUGGUAAAACAGCUAGCUAAAAGUUACAGCCUUAUUCAUCAAUCUACACACGCAAGGGAAAAGAUCAUUGCCUGCCACCAAAAGCUUUGAUGGUCUCUGUGAGAGUGAAAAACUCUCCAGAAGUGUGGGCAGAGGGGAUUAACAAUUCCAACCCCUGGCUGUUAAGGAGUGCAAAAAGACAACACGUGCAGAAGGACAACAGUGCAGUAGUCAAGGACAAUGUGUAUGGUGUUCAUUGCAGGACAUCCUCAGCGUCAUACCUCACCUCUUCUUGAGUCAAUCCUCACUCUUUGUUGAGUCAAUCAUCACCCUUUGAGUCAAUUCCCAGCACUUUUUGAUUAAAUUCUUACCUAUUCUUGAGUCAAUGCUCCUCACCCCUUUUUGAGUCAAUCAUCAUUCUUUAGAUGGAUUACCAAUGGGACAAUACAUUUGAUGUAUUGAUCAUCAGCCAAUCAAUUGACCAGUGCCCCCUUCAAUUUAAGAUGCUACUUUCUCUAUCCUGUAUGCAUAGAACUAGGGAGCAAUUCAGGUCAAUGAAAUUGCUAAUGCACCCAUUAGGGCAGAGCGUUACCAUUGUGUUUGAAAGAGCAGACGGUGAGUGUCUGUUCUUCCGUGUCUGGAAUAUUAACCAGGUACACCAGCACCAAGGACAGGUUUUUAUGCAGCCAAGUCAUGUUAACCCAGUGUAAUAUCUUUCAUAAGGGAAAUGUAUGUAUUCACUGUCUGUGGAGGGGCUUUUAAUUAUGUUGGUUAUUAAAUGAAACAGUUGAUGCAUCCCAAAUGGCACCCUAUUCACUAAAUAGUGCACUACUUUUGAACAGAGCCCUAUUUUGGUCGCCUAUGGGCUCUGGCCAAAAGUAGUGUACUAUAUAGGACAUAGGUUGCCAUGUGGGAGGCCGAUAGUGGAAGCCACUUCACCCAUCAGUCUUUAAAUGAGAGAGCCCUCAUAGGGCACAUUAGGACUUACCAUGGCUCUGUAUAUGUAACUAUUGCUUGUACCAAUGUUUCCAAAAAUGAUGCAAAGUUUUAACCUUUUGUUUGUUAUAUAUGCAAUCUCUUAUAACUGUUUCAUAACUUUCCACCUGGUGCAAACCCUUCACAAGUCUAGGCUCUUGCUAUGCAUAUAUGCUCUGCAUCCUGAAGUUCUCUUGUAGCCCAUUGCUGCCUUCCUGGCUAGGUCUCCCUUGCAAACGAAACUGUGUGUCUCAAGGUUCUUCUCCUGGUUAAAUAAAGGUUAAACAAAUCAAAUAAAAAAAAUGUGAAAUUCUAAAAUAUUAAUAUUCAACACUGUUCAGCAUGACAUGUAAGAAUAUAGUUUAUCUUAAUCAUCUCUGAAGAUUGAUUUGGGCUCCAGUGAAAUCUAUAGCUCAUCAAUCUGAGCUAAUGCUAAUGUACCCCAUUUUUUAAGAAAAAUACUGACAGUAGCAUGAGGAAUUACUAGAUGUGCUUGCUGAAAGCAAAGCACAAUUUUAGAAGUUGUUCAUACUUUUCAUUAUUGUUCCACAGCCACCUGUAGCGCCAAAACCGUGAAAGCUAUCAACACAAAAAUUAACAUCCAGAUUGCUUGAAAAACUAUUUCAUGAUACCACUCAUACCUUUCACACUACAGCCAUAUUUACAUAAAUCCUAAUGCAUUUCAAUGGCCAUAGACUUCAGUUGGAAACAUUCUUGCCGUAACUAGUAUUCCACCGUUUAAGCUACAAACGCUAUUCAAACAUUAAAACCUGCAGACCGGUCUGGAAUAGGUUGCCUGCAUGGGUCUAUCUAUAAAUAAAUGGGCCGAUGUGUGACAGGCUCAACAUUUCAAAAUGGUUUUAUAUACAUUUAAAUAUGAUUUUCUUCCAGCUUCACAUGCGUAGUUACAGGAUUAAGAGUCUAGGUAGACACAAUGAGAACAUAACUCCUAGCAACUACGAAACAUCUACAUGUCAUUCAAAAUGUCACAUGGACACCGCAUGUUUCCUUAUCAUGCCUGGUAGCCAGGUCUGUGUGUGCUUUAGUUCACUUCUCUAUCAUUUAUAGCCAUGCUAA